CCCCAAACUCAACUCACGCCCGCUGCCGUCCGCUUACUCCUCCGACGAGCCGCCGCUUUCGUGAGCUGCCAGCGUUCGUGAGCCGCCGCUGAACUCCUCCGACGAGAUCAGGCCUCCUCAAUCUCUCCCCAAAUCCGCUGCCAGCGUUCGUGAGCCGCCGCUUUCUCCUCCGACGACAUCAGCCCUCCUUCGGCGAGACUCGUUGCCGCCGUUCCCCCAAAGACACCAUCACCGAGGGAUUUUUCUCGACGAGGCUAUAAGCUAAGACCGCGAUCUCAUUGAGGGUUUGUUGGGUAGUGUGCUCGAGGUGGCAUAGUGAAAAAUUGAUUCUACAAGGGAUGUUGGAAUCUUUGAUCUCAUAAACGUGUUAUUGUUGUUGAUUGUGUUGAGGGGAAUAAAUGAGUUUUUGUUGCUGUGAUUUGUGUAAUAAAACAGGGAGGAGGAGAAUAAUGUGAUUUUAGAAUUAUAAAGAUGACGAUGAAGGGAGAAGCCACAGAUGAUGAGCUUUAGAUAUGAGUGUGUUUUGAAUUUCUGAAUAGUACUCAUUAUGUACGUAAGAGCUCAUUGCUCUUUUGAUGGAAAUAUUUAGAUUAUAUUC
This is a long non-coding RNA of Asparagus officinalis (garden asparagus), 598 nucleotides long. RefSeq lists it as uncharacterized. The transcript is spliced from 2 exons. The record is from RefSeq and is a predicted model, not a curated record. Lineage: Eukaryota; Viridiplantae; Streptophyta; Magnoliopsida; Asparagales; Asparagaceae.